GCCUUCGUGGUGUAAUAGCCAGCAUACAGAACGCGUAUUCGAGAGGUCCGAGGUUCGAGUCCCGGCGAGGGCA
This 73-nucleotide transfer RNA is filed under the name Stegodyphus mimosarum. It matches the Rfam family "tRNA". From Rfam's summary of the family: Transfer RNA (tRNA) molecules are approximately 80 nucleotides in length. Their secondary structure includes four short double-helical elements and three loops (D, anti-codon, and T loops). Lineage: Eukaryota; Metazoa; Arthropoda; Arachnida; Araneae; Eresidae. The record is from Rfam by way of RNAcentral.